RNAcentral lists this ribosomal RNA (492 nucleotides) under uncultured bacterium. RNAcentral's name for it is "partial 16S ribosomal RNA". It matches the Rfam family "Bacterial small subunit ribosomal RNA", at positions 29 to 507 of the family's 1533-position model. The record is from RNAcentral.
AUUGAACGCUGGCGGCAUGCUUUACACAUGCAAGUCGAACGGUAACAGGCCUUCGGGUGCUGACGAGUGGCGAACGGGUGAGUAAUGCAUCGGAGCGUACCCAGAGGUGGGGGAUAACGCAGCGAAAGCUGUGCUAAUACCGCAUGUGAUCUGAGGAUGAAAGCGGGGGACCGAGCAGCAAUGUUUGGCCUCGCGCCUUUGGAGCGGCCGAUGUCGGAUUAGCUAGUUGGUGGGGUAAAGGCCCACCAAGGCGACGAUCCGUAGCUGGUCUGAGAGGACGACCAGCCACACUGGGACUGAGACACGGCCCAGACUCCUACGGGAGGCAGCAGUGGGGAAUUUUGGACAAUGGGCGCAAGCCUGAUCCAGCAAUGCCGCGUGCGGGAAGAAGGCCUUCGGGUUGUAAACCGCUUUUGGCAGGAACGAAACGGUGUCCGCUAAUACCGGGCGCUAAUGACGGUACCUGCAGAAUAAGCACCGGCUAACUACGUG